Molecule: ribosomal RNA, 460 nt
Filed under: uncultured bacterium
Lineage: Bacteria
Description: partial 16S ribosomal RNA
Rfam family: Bacterial small subunit ribosomal RNA
Source: RNAcentral
CCUACGGGAGGCUGCAGUGAGGAAUAUUGGUCAAUGGACGAGAGUCUGAACCAGCCAAGUAGCGUGAAGGAUGACUGCCCUAUGGGUGGUAAGCUUCUUUUAUAAAGGAAUAAAACGAUACACGUGUGCCUUUUUGCAUGUACUUUAUGAAUAAGGAUCGGCUAACUCCGUUCCAGCCGCCCCGGUAAGACGGAGGAUCCGAGCGUUAUCCGGAUUUAUUGGGUGUAAAGGGAGCGUAGAUGGGGUGGUAAGUCAGUUGUGAAAGUUUGCGGCUCAACCGUAAAAUUGCAAUUGAUACUGGCAGUCUUGAGUACAGUUGAGGUUGGCGGAAUUCGUGGUGUAGCGGUGAAAUGCUUAGAUAUCACGAAGAACACCGAUUGCGAAGGCAGCAUACUAAACUGUGACUGACAUUGAUGUUCGAAAGUGUGGGUAUCAAACAGGAUUAGAUACCCUAGUAGUC